AUACUUAAAUGGCAGGAAAGCUACCAUGAUCACAAAGAUGGUUUUCCCAGGGCAAAACUUAUCCAUUGCACUCUGGACAUGCUGGCCACUGCAGUUUCCCCAAAUGUGGAAAUCUGUGGUAGUGGGGACUGAGUUCGCACUCUCCCUGG
This 149-nucleotide small nuclear RNA is filed under the name Propithecus coquereli (Coquerel's sifaka). RNAcentral describes it as "U1 spliceosomal RNA (ENSPCOG00000026270.1)". It matches the Rfam family "U1 spliceosomal RNA". From Rfam's summary of the family: U1 is a small nuclear RNA (snRNA) component of the spliceosome (involved in pre-mRNA splicing). Its 5' end forms complementary base pairs with the 5' splice junction, thus defining the 5' donor site of an intron. The record is from Rfam by way of RNAcentral. Lineage: Eukaryota; Metazoa; Chordata; Mammalia; Primates; Indriidae.